AUGUUGGUAACCGUGCACAAUCUGCAGCGUUCUGUUGCUGUGAAUGUUCACAAACUACAUCAUAUAGCCGAAUUCUUUGCUUCGUGUUUGGGUCUCCAGCAUCUUGAUGUUGGCGUGGCGUUAGAAGAAACUGAAGUUGUGCGUCGUUUGAACAGGAGAUAUCGAGGCCGUGACACUGCCACAGAUGUUCUCUCGUUCUCACACAAAGAGGUGAUGUAUCCUGGCAAUGUACCUCAAAGUUCAGGGCCAUGGGACACAAGUCUAGGCGAUCUUGUGCUGGCAUUGCCUUAUAUUCAGCAGCAGUGUAAAGAAGAGAAUACUACUCUUGAUGAACGAGUGCCAGUAAGAUACUUCUUUGUCAUGGUUUAUGUCAUCUGCUGGGUUACACACAUACUACUAGACACAACUGGCAGCUGAUGGUGAAAAGGGAAAGUUCAUUACUCCAAUGCUACAACAAUGCAUUUGGAACUUGCCUUCGAACUUUAACAGUAUGUGAAGAAUACUAACAGUUAAGAUAUGGCUUGGACACCGCUAUAGCAGAGGGCAGUCAUAUGUGAAUAUCUGAUUGCUGUUACUGUUCCGAGUUGGCUGUUGCAGAUGAAGAAGCAAUUCAUUGCUUGAGCUUGUCAAAAUUGGGUGCUGUGGCAUUUGUAUUAUAUGUCGUAGCUUGUGUAAUUACCUGUACGUCAUGUAAUGAAAGAGCAGCAGCUAACAACAGAA
This is an RNA transcript of Corticium candelabrum, 720 nucleotides long. It is a transcript of the gene named endoribonuclease YbeY-like, with no coding region annotated. NCBI's taxonomy places the organism in Eukaryota, Metazoa, Porifera, Homoscleromorpha, Homosclerophorida, Plakinidae. The record is from RefSeq and is a predicted model, not a curated record. The transcript is spliced from 5 exons.